GUGAAAUCCUGGAGCUCAACUUCGGAACUGCCUUCGAUACUGGSAAGCUAGAGUACGGUAGAGGUGAGUGGAAUUCCUAGUGUAGAGGUGAAAUGCGUAGAUAUUCGGAAGAACACCGGUGGCGAAGGCGGCUCACUGGACCGUUACUGACGCUGAGGCGCGAAAGCGUGGGGAGCAAACAGGAUUAGAUACCCUGGUAGUCCACGCCGUAAACGAUGGAUGCUAGCCGUUG
This 232-nucleotide ribosomal RNA is filed under the name uncultured Alphaproteobacteria bacterium. RNAcentral's name for it is "partial 16S ribosomal RNA". It matches the Rfam family "Bacterial small subunit ribosomal RNA", at positions 594 to 825 of the family's 1533-position model. The record is from RNAcentral. Lineage: Bacteria; Pseudomonadati; Pseudomonadota; Alphaproteobacteria.